GCUCAACCUCGGGCGUGCGGUGGGUACGGGCAGGCUAGAGUGUGGUAGGGGAGACUGGAACUCCUGGUGUAGCGGUGAAAUGCGCAGAUAUCAGGAAGAACACCGAUGGCGAAGGCAGGUCUCUGGGCCAUUACUGACACUGAGAAGCGAAAGCAUGGGUAGCGAACAGGAUUAGAUACCCUGGUAGUCCAUGCCGUAAACGUUGGGCACUAGGUGUGGGGGACAUUCCACGUUUUCCGCGCCGUAGCUAACGCAUUAAGUGCCCCGCCUGGGGAGUACGGCCGCAAGGCUAAAACUCAAAGGAAUUGACGGGGGCCCGCACAAGCGGCGGAGCAUGCUGAUUAAUUCGAUGCAACGCGAAGAAUCUUACCAAGGCUUGACAUGCACUGGACGGCUGCAGAGAUGUGGCUUUCUUUGGACUGGUGCACAGGUGGUGCAUGGUUGUCGUCAGCUCGUGUCGUGAGAUGUUGGGUUAAGUCCCGCAACGAGCGCAACCCUCGUUCUAUGUUGCCAGCACGUGAUGGUGGGGACUCAUAGGAGACUGCCGGGGUCAACUCGGAGGAAGGUGGGGACGACGUCAAAUCAUCAUGCCCCUUAUGUCUUGGGCUUCAAGCAUGCUACAAUGGUCGGUACAAUG
RNAcentral lists this ribosomal RNA (637 nucleotides) under uncultured bacterium. RNAcentral's name for it is "bacterial SSU rRNA". It matches the Rfam family "Bacterial small subunit ribosomal RNA", at positions 607 to 1244 of the family's 1533-position model. The record is from RNAcentral.